Molecule: transfer RNA, 68 nt
Filed under: Opisthorchis felineus
Lineage: Eukaryota; Metazoa; Platyhelminthes; Trematoda; Opisthorchiida; Opisthorchiidae
Description: tRNA-Met
Source: RNAcentral
GGAGAGGUAAGUUAAGUUGUUAAACUGUGUGGUUCAUGCUCACAUAAUACGUUUUAUCGUUUUCUCCU